CAAUUUCCUUAGGCUAUUUUUACCUUUUUCUUUGGGUUAAAGAAUUGAAAACUUCCGGCGGCAAAUUCGGACAAAUACAAACCAAGAUGAACAGAGAAAGCGAGAUAGCGAGGCAGUUGCAAGAAUGGACACAAGAAAUGCACUUCAACUUACAGUUGUCCCAUUCAGCAGCGUGAUAUCCAGAGAAGUUAAAAGUGAUGUGUAAAGGCCAGGAGCAGAAUUCAGUGUAUCAUGGCACGUUAUGCAAUAUCCACCAAACUCGAUUGACCGUUAACUUAUUCUGAUGCUAUCAGUGGCUGAUUUGUAAUGGGCCAUUAAAAGUAUUUGAUAGUGAGGCGGUUCGUCUGCUACAAGCAAGCUGCUAGGAAUGAAAACACCAGCACGUGCAGUCCCAUUCCAACAUGGUGCACAGAGAAAGGGCCACAAACAGCGAACACUGCUCAGUUCCAAGUACCAAGUCAAGAUACCCCUUGGUAUAUGUCAUCAUAACACUGAAAAGCAGACCAAUGAUGUGAUUGAAAUACUACAGCAUUCCCAUGACUUCAUUCCAAAUGACAGAACAAAAGAGCCUAAGAGGAGCUAGAAACAGAUACAAUUUGGGAAGAGCAGUAGAUAAUGAAAAUCAUACUAGCUGGUGGCGAUCAACUUGCAUGUGAAAAAAAGGGGGACACAAAUGGCCCAACAGGUUAGGGACACACCAAAAGAGAAGAUAGAGAGCGUUCAGCGCUGUAUUGAGGAUUUUUCAUGAGAAAAUGUAUUUCAGUCAGGAGUACCAGUGAUGAAUGUCAUCGCAUACCAAAAGCACUUCACUAGUUCAACAGCUCUGAAAAAACAGUGUGAAUGAAUGGAUAACUUGUCUACAACAUGGCUCACCAAACAAAAUUAGGUUGGAGUCAUUUAUUUUGCCAGAUAAGUGUGAUGAUGCAUAUGGUCAUACUUCCUGUAGUGAAGUAAAAAAAAUUGUCAUUACAAUGAAAAUACAUGAAAAAAAAUGUUAAUGUAUUAGAUAAUCAUAUAAUCACUGUAUUAUUGAAUCUGAUGAUAAAUAUAUUGAUAAUUAUAGUAAGAAUAUGUUGUCAAAGAAUGCUCCAAAUACCGUUAAUGUUCAUGCUGAGUUAAGAAUUAUCGAAACUAGGUGUUGGUUUGUUUUGUCGGAAUGUCCAUAAAAAUAUUACUUCAAAGAUGACAGGUUUGAAUGAGUAACGAAAAAUAAUCGGGGUUUGAACUUACCAUAAUGAUUUUAAUACUACAUUUGAUGUGCUCGACACACCACUUGAAGGCUCUGCAUAUAGCAACCAAGAUAUUUUCAAUACACUUGUGAGCAACAUUGCUUGUUUAAAAUGUGGCCAUGAGGAUUGUUCCUUUACUUUUUAUGAUGAUUUCAAUGAAAAAUGUUACACAAUUUUAGAUAUUGUAACAAUUGAUUCUUUCUAAGCUAAUUUCAAUUACCGUAUUAUAACAUUUAACAAACAUUUCAAUGUGUAUUCUUAUGUGAAUAAGUUUUUAGAUGAACUGGGCUUGUAACUAUAUUUCAUUACUAAGCACUUAAAAUCAAUGGUUAAAAAAAGAAUGCAUGAUUAAUACAAAAAAAAUGAAUCUUUUAGUAAUACAUCCUAAAUAAUAAUUCACGGAAUGUACAAAACUAAACUUUUUUUAAAAAAUAUCCAGGGUCUGGGUUCAUAAAGCAUCUUAAGUCAUUUCCUAACUUUAGUGCUUUUCCUAUUUUGAGUUUCUCACUGGUCUUAUGAUAUAAUUUCUUGAUAAUAUCAAUUAUACUUUAUUUCAUAAGACUUUAAACAAAAUUCAAACAUUUAUGCCAAAAAAAAAUAUUAAAAUUAAAAUCUAAUAUCAUUAUGAAAAGUUAUGGAAAUGAAAUUACUGAAGAUUCUUAAUGAACACAGACCUAGAUAUAUUACCUUGAAACGUUGGUCUUGUAAUGUGUAAAUAUAGAAAUUAAGAUCAUAAAUUACCUACUGAAAUAUGUCGCUUUUAUAGUAUUGACAUAUUUCAAAGAAAAUGCCUUCUUUGUAAUACCAGUUGUUGCUGGAUUUCAUUUUUUUAAUGUCACUUUUUUCAAGAUUUAGAAUUAAAUAUAUAUCACAUUAUUUGAUUACCAAAGCUCUUACAUAACGGAACAACUAAUGAAUUGUAAUAAUGAAACAAAACCAUAUAAAAUUGAAGUCAUUUUAACGAAUUCAUUCUCUUUGGAUCAUCAACCAAUGUCUUAUGUAUAGAUGUUUAGACACUGUUUGAUAACAUUCAUUUACUAUAUAGUAUAAUCUGUUGGUGAACUGCUGCUUGUUAUGUAUAUAACAUGUCACAUAGUUUUAUAGAGCCUUAUAAUUUAUAUUAAGUCUUUGAACUAAAUUAAUUGUUUCGAUGUAUGACCCUAUGAAAGUUAUAGCAUACUUUAGCAUGUUGUUAAACGAUAACAUUGUAAUGACACAAAAUUUAGUUAUUAAAUAAGAAGUAUUACCCAUUCAUGUAAUUAAUUCAUGUAUUAUCCAUAUAGUUUACUUAGUACAGCUAAAUGUCAACGGUGCACUUUGUCACGCAAUAUGUUCUUUUAUAUUACAUGUAUUCUGUUUAAUAAACUUAGAACAUAAUUAAAUUGUUAAUGAAUUGUAUCUUAGAACAUAAUUAAAUUGUUAAUGAAUUGUAUUUUAAGAUUGAACUAUGUCUUAAGUUGGGCUACCAAGUUUUAUGUGCAUUUUAGUGGCGAAAGUGUUAUAUUAAUAUCAUUAUUACAUUAACUCAUACAUGCUUUAAUUUAUCGCAUUAUGUAGUCUGUUUUUAUUGACAUAAACAAUUAGUUACCUUUCUAUUUAAAAAAAAUACAAACUGUUUUUAAGUAGCGCUCGCUAUUGAAACUUUUGCUUGCUUGCAGUUUACAUGCAGUCAAGAGUAAAAUAUUCUUGUUUUUUCACGUUUAUGCUCGAAGACAAUACUUUGUUUACUUACUAAAUGAGAUUGUAUGACAGAAAAUAGGACAAUAUAAUGAAUGUUUAAAAUGCCGUAUGGUAGAUGUAACAGUAACUGUACAUAUAUAUGAUAUUGAUUAAUUGCAUUUGUUUUAAUUGCAUUUGUUUUUAAUAAGAAUAAACAAAACCCUUUUAUAUUGGA
Mya arenaria is the source of this 3123-nucleotide long non-coding RNA. RefSeq lists it as uncharacterized. The record is from RefSeq and is a predicted model, not a curated record. Lineage: Eukaryota; Metazoa; Mollusca; Bivalvia; Myida; Myidae. The transcript is spliced from 8 exons.